UCUGGAUAGUUCCAUAGGUUCAUGGCCUUUCAAAACAAGCCCUUCCAGUUAUAAAAAAGGUCUUUGUCUAGGUAAAAUACAGGGCCCGCGGGGGGGAAGGAGGCAUUUUGAAAGACAGAUAAGUCAGGGACAGUUUCCUGAAGUAGCCUGUAAUCAUUGCAAGACAAAGAUAAGAUAAGAGCCAUCCUUUAUUUGCAUUUGCACGUUCCGAACAUGUGGACACUGAAUAGGCUCUUGUAAACACUCUCAGAGCCUGAUUGUUGCUCCCCUGCUCGGGAGUCACGCACUAUUAAUCAUGCAGAAAUAGGCCAGGCCCUUCGCCGCAACCUAAUCCAAUACUUCUGCUCAGAAUGGUCUAUAAUUAAAGAGUGCGAGAACUGUUAGAGAUGAAACAUUAGGAUAAGGAGUCGAUAUAAGCUGGAAGGGCUGAGCCUCCCAACAGUGCACGCAGCUCUGGACCGACGUCAGCAAUGAGGCUCAUAUACAUCUUGAUUCUGUUGGGGGAAGUGGUAGCAGAGCCAGUCACAGGUGAGUUACCUGAAAUAUUCCAAACUAUUGAGCUAUUUUUUCAAAUAUGCCAGUGGACGUAGCACCUUUCUGUCCUUGCUAUCCAGCCCGUAGAGGCGUGCUGAUGUUGCUGAAUGGUGAGAGGAUCCAUCUGAUGCCAUUUCUAGACACACAUUGCUACAAAUCCCAUUUUAAUAACAUCAACACCCACUUCCGUCUGUCCUUUUAGAGGCCCUGGCCAUGACUACGGAGAAGACGGUGGUGUCGACCCCUGCAGGUUUGUGCUUGAAAUCCACACUAGCAGAUGUCGUCGAUGUUUCACGCGCUGCUGACUAUCAUAUUUGCUAUUGCAGCGUACAGGAAGCCUAACCCCGCCAAUAAAGCAGAGGUAGAGCCAGACUCCGAAGACGUGUCCGAAGCAGCAUCGGAAGAGAAGAUGACGGAUUCCGACAGUCAGGAGAUCCCGUCCUCCAAGGCCAUGCAAGCAGGGAAACCUCCAUUCAAGAGGAGGACAGCCGUAGACGAGAUGAUCAGGAGGUGGGCGCAGGAGCGGGGCAGCAGGGAGAGGAACGAUCCUGACAGCGAAGAACACCCCAGUCCUUCAGGAGCUCAGGCGCUCUGCCCAGACAGGACGGCAGAACCAGCCAGUGAUGAUCAAAGCAGGGACCUGCAGGACCCGGACAGUCCGGAGGGCAACUGCGGCAGACCAGCACCAGCGGAAGGCCGAGACUUGGAGAUCCCAGCGAGGUCUCCGGCGGCUCCUCCGGAGAACAAGCGGAGAGCAUCCGGUCCGACCAAGAGCCAGAGGCCCUGAAGAUGACGCGGAG
Molecule: long non-coding RNA, 1334 nt
Filed under: Takifugu rubripes (torafugu)
Lineage: Eukaryota; Metazoa; Chordata; Actinopteri; Tetraodontiformes; Tetraodontidae
Description: lncRNA (ENSTRUG00000031163.1)
Source: RNAcentral